UACGUAGGCGGGAAAUUAAGUCAGUAGUGAAAUCCCACAGCUUAACCGUGGAACUGUUAUUGAUACUGGUUUUCUUGAAUAUAGUUGAGGUAGGCGGAAUGUGUAAUGUAGCGGUGAAAUGCUUAGAUAUUACACAGAACACCGAUUGCGAAGGCAGCUUACUAAACUAUGAUUGACGCUGAGGUACGAAAGCGUGGGGAGCGAACAGGAUUAGAUACCCUGGUAGUC
This 228-nucleotide ribosomal RNA is filed under the name uncultured bacterium. Its description in RNAcentral is "partial 16S ribosomal RNA". It matches the Rfam family "Bacterial small subunit ribosomal RNA", at positions 568 to 795 of the family's 1533-position model. The record is from RNAcentral.